GGGCCCGCACAAGCGGUGGAGCAUGUGGAUUAAUUCGAUGAUACGCGAGGAACCUUACCAGGGCUUAAAUGAUAAUUGACCGUCGCCGAAAGGUGUCUUUCUUUUAGACAAGUAUCAAGGUGCUGCAUGGCUGUCGUCAGCUCGUGCCGUGAGGUGUUGGGUUAAGUCCCCGCAACGAGCGCAACCCCUAUCUCUAGUUGCCAGCACAUAAUGGUGGGGACUCUAGAGACACUGCCUACGUAAGUAGUGAGGAAGGUGGGGACGACGUCAAGUCAUCAUGGCCCUUACGUCCUGGGCUUCACACGUGCUACAAUGGAUGGUACAAAGAGCAGCCACUCAGCGAUGAGGAGCAAAA
Molecule: ribosomal RNA, 355 nt
Filed under: uncultured bacterium
Lineage: Bacteria
Description: bacterial SSU rRNA
Rfam family: Bacterial small subunit ribosomal RNA
Source: RNAcentral